UGCGCUCCCACUGGUAUUCUGGACGCACUAACAAAUUGGGGAAAUCAAGCUCGAGAUGCAAUUCUUACCGAACUAAAUACGGGUAACGCGACUCGAUCGUUUAGAGUGACACUUGAAGAGAAAAUACGUGAAGGCGCGACCACUAUAAAAGAAGCAUUCGACGACGUGAAGGAUAUCGGAGAGAUGUGGAUAGAUAGCCUGCUGGAGAAAAUCAAAACGAGCGGUCAAUUAGAAGCAAUAAAGCAAACCGCUCAGCAGUGGAAAGAGAUCGCCAAGGAGGAACUAGCCGAGCUGGGUAGCGCGUCGGUUGAUGCCACUGAAGAAUGGCGCGCCGCUGCCAGGCGAAGCUCCUAGAGUGGAAAAAGCGCCGUCGAACCAGAGUUAAAAGAUUGGCAGAUAAAGCUGAGAUGCUCGGCAACGUAGCGGACGAGUCCGUAACCGAGCUGAGGGGCUUCAUUAGUGACGCAAUCGACAACUGGACGAAAUACAAUCGAAUGUUGCUAGACAGCUUGCACCGACAUCAGCUACAACCACCACGUACAGAUUUGCUGCGACGGCAACGUAUACUCCAAGUUUGGCUUCCUGGCCAUUCACGCGUGCUGCGGAGAGUACUUGUUUGACAUCUUCUCUCAGCAAUGCUGCUACGGACGUGUUCUCAAGGAAGAUCAAGUGUGCAACAAUCCUGGUCAGAUUGAGCAAGCUUCCACACGCAGCCCGACAUACGUCCUUCGAGCCGUGAACAGUCCCACGAAUUUCAAUGCGACAGUUUAGCUAGGCUUAGCUUCUUUUUUU
Long non-coding RNA from Priapulus caudatus, 792 nucleotides. RefSeq lists it as uncharacterized. The transcript is spliced from 4 exons. The record is from RefSeq and is a predicted model, not a curated record. NCBI's taxonomy places the organism in Eukaryota, Metazoa, Priapulida, Priapulimorpha, Priapulimorphida, Priapulidae.